UCUGGAUUUAUUGCAAGGGCCAUCUUUUAAUGAAGAUUUUGGGGGUCACGGGAUACUGCUCACAGGAUACAGAACCAGAGGCUGACUCUCUAGGCCCUUGUAUGGAUCCUACUGAGAAACUGGCUAUGAAAGAUUGGGAAAAGCACAUGCACAUCCUCCAUACCUUCUGCUCACAACAUCUACCUGCAAAUAGCACUGUUUGAUCAUCACUUGGAUGGAUGUGUCCAUGGAGAGGAGAACACUGGACAAAAGCACUGAUGAUGACAAACUGCUUUCCUAAAUGUACUUAAUUGUUAAGGACUAGAGGAACAAAUCCAAGUCUCUUUGAAAUCACUGGGAUCAGGAAUAUGUGCUAGUUAAGCAGAAGGAAGAAACUAUUCUGAUGCUUGAUUUGUUCAUGCACAUAAGUAAUUUACUAAAAAAUUCUGUCAGUGGCACUGGCAGGGAAUCAUUCCACAGAGCCAAUAAGAAUUUGAAAACAUCCUGAGCUGCUCGUGGAACAAUCAGUCCAGAUGUAACAGCACUGCUUGUUUAGAGUCAACCAUUGGUGUUGCAAGAGAAUUUGCCUUUAGGUAUUUCUGUUUAGCCUAAUUACACGUAUAUUGUAACAAUACGUAAUUUUUAAAAAUCAUCUUAGCAUCACUUUGCAUUAUAAAAUACAGUUAUGGUCCUUCUAAACAAUGGUCUGAACUUCAGUGCUAAGUGAAUAAAUGCCUGCAAUUUAAAUCUGUGGCAUUUUCUAAACAUCCUUAGAGAGAAUUUAUUUUGGAAAAAUCAUGGCUUUCCUUGUAUUAUUAAAACCUUAAAUUUUGUAGACUCCUUGUGCCCCAAUUCACGGUGUGAGCUGUACUGGAUAUUGGCCAAAACACCCCAGUGUUCAGCACAACAUUACAGUGUAAUUACACACUCAUAGAUGUGUAAUGAGACAAUGUGUAAUAAGACAUCUACCAAUCACACCUUGAUUGGUAGAUGUCCCUGUUUGAGGAAAAUCCAAGGACAAGGGGUUUGUUUGGUACAUUUUUUAUGAUAUAUGGAUAGGAUUUGUUGGGUUUUAUUUCCCCCCUAAUUAAACCACACUAGUGAAUCACACUAGUGAUCCUGACAUGAUCCUGAAAUGUUCUUUAGUUGCAAAAGUUCAGCUACAUGAUUGUAUUUUCUAGUAAAAGUACGGGCCCAGAACUCUUUCCCAACGCACUAAUGUGAACUUCUCCCCACAGAGUCAACAGAAGGCCUUAAAAAAAUUCCCUAGCACAUUAAGUAGACCAUAUAAAAAAAUUAUUACCUUGAGGAACCUGCAAAUCUGAGAGCUGGAUGAGGAAACAAUGAACUACUUCCUCUCAUUUCUGUAAUGGAUGAGAAGGAAAACAGAUCCAUAUGGUACAUAUGUGGAGCAGAGCUUAUUUUAGAGUUAAUCCCAGGACAGGACAUUUUUGUCUGUCCACCUGUGAAUUUCUACUAUUGAUAACACUUACUAAGUACAUAAAAACAAGGUUCUUCGUGGCUGUAAUUUAUGCAGUAUCUGCUACACAUUAGAAAGUCAUCAGUGUUCAGGACAACCUCCAGGAAAGAGUGAUGUUUCAUAAAUUAUAUUGCCAUGUGAAAAUGUUUUUUUUCUCUUUAAAUAAAUAAUGCUGCAACUUCUAAACCUUAAGGAUUUUAUGCUCUGAACUUGAUCAUUAAAAUAAUACCAUAUGUUGGACACAUCUUUAAAACAUAUUUCCCUGGUUUCUGAAGGUGGUGGGAAAACACCCUGUCAACCCACUCAGAAUCUCCAGUCUCCCAGCUGGACACAUGAGUGUAAGAAAAUACCAACUUUCUUUCCCAUAAAUAAGAGAAGGAAAUUUGCUUUCAAUCAAGGAAAUUAGACUGAGUGCAUGAAGGACUAAAAAUGGUCGCAGCACCUGCUCAGACUACUGGAGAAGGUGAAAAAUAGGCACUUUCUAAGCCCACAGAAAUAAUAAUAAUAAUGGAAAUAUUUAUGUGCAUUAACACAUGAGCGAUGUUGGGAGUGAACUACCUGCUUAACAGAUUAUGAACAUGGGGUUCCCUGACCAAAUUAUUUACAGACCAUCACCACACACUAAAAAUACAGAGUUACUGAAAUUGCUACUAUAUUGGUCUAGCAAUCUGAUCGUCCUGGUUUCAAGACGCAGAUUUCAAGAUUCCUCAGAAACACACAGAAAUAUAUGAGAACAGCAUCCCUAAAACUUCUGAAUGAUAAAUGGUGAGUGUUUGGCCCUGGCAAAGGUCUGUACAGCUUGUGAGACACAGUAGAUUACGGUCUCCACGAGGCAGGCACAAGGAGGAGACAAAUCACAACGUGGCCAAAUUCAUCAGACCAGCUCCUCUGAGAUGGGAGAAAGAACUAGAAAUAUACACCAGCACCUAAAUAAAGGAUGUGUAAGUGCUUUCUAUCCAGGCUUGUCAGACCCCCUGUGCUCACAGAGCAUGGAAAUUCUCAAGAGUUUUCUGUUAAUCUCCAACUCUUUUUUAAGUACCCAAGUCAGUCUUGGGCACCCUCGCAUGUUGUUUUAAUAUGGCUACAAAUGACUUGGCAGAGAUUACACAGGGCCUCUGUGGAGCUUCCUAACCACAAAUUACCAUCUCUCCAGGAAAAUGCCUGAAGACUAUCAGACUAUGCUUCCUGAAAAGCCCUGAGUGCAGGGCUGGGUGAUAGAUUUGGUAGUAAAGAUUUGCUUAAUUUGUAAGCAUGCAUAAAUGUUCCAAACUA
Myiozetetes cayanensis is the source of this 2731-nucleotide long non-coding RNA. RefSeq lists it as uncharacterized. The record is from RefSeq and is a predicted model, not a curated record. The transcript has 3 exons. NCBI's taxonomy places the organism in Eukaryota, Metazoa, Chordata, Aves, Passeriformes, Tyrannidae.